AAAGGGACUUUAAAGGGUAGUCUAGUUUCAAGCCCCCUAGGUCAAGGGCAGGGACACCUUCUGCUAGACCAGGUUGCUCAUAUUCCCAUCUAGCCAGGCCUUGAACAUACCGGAGGUGGGACACGUCUCUAUGGGCAACUGGUUUCCAGUGCCUCACCACCUCACCUUCCUAAAUAUUAGGAAGGAAGCACUAUUCCUCCCUAAUAUUUAAUUGAAUCCUGCCCUCUGUCAGUCUAAAGCCAUUCCCCUUUGCCCUAUCACGACAUUCUUGUGUACAAAGUCCCUCUCAGCAAGGCUAUUUCCGCUGCUCUAGUAUUGACACUUGUAGGGAUUUGACUUCAUUCCAUGGGAUACAGUUAAUAACACAAGCAGAUGUGAAGAAGUGUCACAGGCAGCUGCGAGAAAGCAGCUGUCAGCUGAGACCUGUGGUGGUACCAGAGAACUGGAGAAUUGCAGUGCUGCAAAUAUCCUCCCUUCUCUUUCCUGGUGUCCCGGUUCUCUCCAGGUUCCCAAUGCAGAUGUGUAUCUCACGCAGAACUAACUCCUUCUCUGACGCCACUUGAGUUAAUGUCCCUUGGAGUCCUGUGGUGGGAACAUGACCACUGUGCUCUUCAGGGCCUCUUUGGGCCUGACAUCCUUCUCCCCUCUUCCACUGCUUUCUUCCCAGUUACAGGCCUUACCUUUCCUCACAACUCCUACUUAUCCUGUUUCUUUAUGCCAUUUUUGUCUCUUUGCCUCAGCCUACUCUCAUUCCCUGCUGGCUCUGCCUAAGCCCAGUUCUCUGCCUGUGGGCACAAUACGACUUCCUUCAGUCCCCCUAAGUCACAUUUCUAGAGCCAGAGUCAAUGUGCCUCUCCUGGAGACGCACUGCCAGACAGAUUUUCUUGUUUGGGGACUUUUCUCGGGGUCAAGUUCAUCCCUGCAAAGCAGCAUUUUAACCACUUCCCUCAGAGUUUAUUUUCAUGGUGACAUUCUUCUCCACUGUGUAUUUGCAUGCAUCUGCCUUUCAGCGAUGUAUUCUUCCCUGGUUUUGAGUUAAUUUUUCUAGUUCCCAGAUCACUUGUCCUCCCAGCUUGUAUCCUGGCCUCUUGGCUUGUCCCUUCUCAAGUUUUCAUGGCAAUUUCUGCUCUUUGACUUCUUGCUACCUUUUCCUCCCCAGAGGGCUCUGUCUUUGGAUGAAUGGAAUGAAAUAGUCCAUGCUUUGCCUCCUUCUGAACACAGCCUGAAAAACAGGAUAGGGAGCAAAAGAAACGCAGUGGUGCUCUUCCUCAAUGAUCCCACUGUGUCCUCUCACUUCAUAGAAUGCCUCUCGAUCUUCCUUGAUAGUUCUUCCUGCACAGGAGUCCUGGGGUGAGACUUUCUUCCUGAAACAUGCAGGAGAUGAGCCCUCAUGGAGCCAGCUCCUGCCUGGCCUACCUGGCUGUCAUUUCAAGGAUGGGUAGUAGUGACAGCACAUCCUCCUGGCCCUGCAAGUGAGGGCCUCUCCAUCCACACCUAGAAACCACACCCUGCAGUGCACAGCUUCUUCCAACACCAGCCUGGGGUGCUGGGCUUGGGUCUGCCCAGAGGGGACCACCUUAUCCAGGGUCUUUGGCACCAUUCCCACACAUUUCUGGUAUUGCCAUGCAGGAUCCCCUCUAGGCCUCCCCUCUGCCAUAACUCCUGGCACACAAGCAGGACAAGGAGCACAUUUCCUCUCUUGCCUCCUCCACACGAGAGCCGGCCCAGCACAGCAGGGUCAGGCCUGCUGUGGUGCAGCCAGCUGAAGGUGCACAGUCCCUGAAGGCCAGAGCUGACCAGCAGCUUCCUCUGCUGGGUGUCCACUCCUGGGGUCAGCCUGCCAUGAGCAUCAGCCCCUGCCGGGUCUGGACACAGUCCCCUCUCCUUGGCUGUAGGAAGAAGGCAGGAUUGCAUUAAUCAUGGACUGAUGCCCAUGGGAACAGGGCAGGAGGAGAACAAGGCUGAGUCAUCCUGGGAGUUUGGGAUGAAUCAGAAUCUGCAAGAGUCUGUCUCCAUGUCCCUCUGAGCCCUGAGACCCCAGGUGCUGAUGCUCAUGCCUCCCUGCAAGAAUUGAGGAGGCCAUGUUGGAGGAUAAUGCCUCUCCACUUCAGAAGCCCUGGGGAACUGACUAAUGUGAAAGGUGGAGCCUGUAUUGUAAUCCUCCAGAAGGCAGCAGAACAGGCUGGAACAACCUCCCACAGCAAUGAGCGCCAUUGUCUCCAGAUAUCUGAAGGAGAAGCAUAAAAUGCCUGAUGGAGGAAACCUCAUCGUGAGGACAAUGGGGAGGCCAGCAGUUACACACAGAGGGUUUUUGAAAUGAGUAUGGAUACUGCAGCCUGCAUCCCCACUUGGCUGAGGGGGAAUAUUGUGUGGAAGACAGAUGGUCAGGAAGUUGGUACCAUCCCUCCCUCCUCUGGUCUCUGGUCUAAACACUUCUAACUCAGCCUCUCUUCAUGUGAAGGACGACCAUCCCAAAGAUGCUCCAUUUGCCUUGUUAAGGCCUAGGAACCUUCUCUCAGUUACUCCUGCCUGGCAAAGAUUGGCUUUGCAAUGAGAUUGGCUAUUUCCUGUCAGUUACUAGGACACACGGUCAGGGAUGUGAUCAGCUUCCUGAGGAACAGUCAGCGUUGUCCCCAUGCCUUUGGGGACUCUCCAGAAAAAAGGCCAUAUUCCCUCUCUGUCUUGGGCACGUUCACUCUGUGUCCUGCUAUUGCUGCCCCUGUGGGACUAGAGGUGCUGCACAAUGGACUGGAGAGGCUCUCUCAGUUGUUGCUCCCAUACAUUGACUGAAGAUGUAUUUGAAUACAAGGACACAGGCUCCCACAGGGUGGGGAUCAGUGCAGAAGCACAUCAUCAAAGUGGGAGUCUUCCCAAGGGAGUUGCGCAAACAAAUGCUAUAAUUGGCCAGCGUUUGCCCUCCUGAACCCGCUGGUUGUGAUCCUGGCUUUUGUUUUUUGCCUUCUCACAUGAUGCUGGCAUCCCAAGAUAUCAGAAUUAUGGCAGAUAAGCAGGCACCCGACCUCUAAUUUGCCAACAUUUCUGCCUCAUUGGGAAGUGUGAGAUCCAACAGAGCCCAUCUCAUCCUUGGGUCCUUCAUAACCUGUUUCAGAAAGCUCCAUGAUAAUAAUCCCGCAGUGUCCUCCUGGAUUUAUUUAAUUUCUCCUGCUGAAAACAAAGCUCAGAAACUGCAGCACAAGCUGCAGAGCCUGACAGCUGCCUCUGUGAGCUGCCCUCACACACUGCUGGGGCUUGGAGCUCUGGGGCUGGUUUCAGGCUGUGAGAGGGCACAACAACCACGCACAGUGGCAGCAACUUUCUCUGGGAUUAAUUCUCUCUUCCUGUGUUAUCCCUGCUGCUAGCACUUGUGCUGUGCUUUCUGCCUUUUGCUUUGUUAGUGUUUCCUUCCAGGCUACUUGCCCUUAUGUCAGUGUUGCAGAUAAGUCUUUCCCUUCAAAUCAUUUGGAAUUUCAAAAACUGGAUAGUUUUUGGCUGAGGUUCAGGUUGAUGGAGAAACUGUCAUCAACCACUGAGAAAGAGAGAAUGUUAAUUUCUGAACAAGAGCACACUUUGCUGUUCUUUGUACUUGGAACCCUCUCUAGCCUUGGCCAUCCCACUUCAUGUUGCUCAGAUGGCCUGGGCAGCAGCAGGUGAUAAAAAUAGGAGUGUGACUGCAAAGAGCUGUGUGAAUUCAAUAGCUGCCACUAUUUGAGGGGGCAUUUGCCUCGAACCACUGCUGUGAAAGAAGACUAUGACCACCAGCUUAACAGUAACCAGGGCAUUAGGAAAAGGUUCCCGAGGCAGAGAAGAAACAGCCUGAAAACAAAUUUUAGAUGAAGCAAGAACAGUUUAAGAGAGAGAGGAGAGGGAAGUGGGAAGGAAGUGGUCACUGAGCCCAGGGUGCUCUGCAACUUGGCCACCUCUGUCUGUAAGAAGCUCCCUGGCAGCUGAGUGCUGUGGGUCACCCCAAUCGGUGCAGCAGGCACAGACCCACAGUUCUGCAAGGUGACAAGGUGAGCCUGUGCUUUCACCUGUGGUUCACAGGCUGCUGGAAGAGGUGUGGAUACUCACGAACCCUACAUCUCCAGAAGGAAGUGUGUGGGACCAGGGGAACCCCUGCUUCCACAAAGGGGAUGUGUUCUUGCAGCUGCACUUCCUGGGGGGCUGGUGAGAGACUGGAGGUCACACAAGUGUUGUUAAUGUGGUUCCAUGUGGAGUGAGAGCUUGUGGACAUUGUUACAUAAAGAUGGUUAGAAAUGUAGGUUCUGAUCCUGCCUGCAGCCUGUUGUGCACAAAAUAAGAGAAUCAGAGAAUGUCUUCUACAGAGAGCUCGGACUUGUCCUCACUUGUAAGCAGUUCUGUGCACUGAUCUUCUGAAGCUUCACCUGAAAUGCCUGUGCUGUUGCUAUGAGCUCUCCUAUUCCUGUGUCUCUGCACCAAUGGAUUCCUCUCAACAGAGAGGAACCAGCUGAUGGAAUAUCUCAGCCAGUUCCAUGUAUGUCCUGCAGAUUUUGGAGUCACAACCAAGUGAGACUUCAUGAUCUGUAAUGUGCAUGGACUCUGACACUGCCCAGCAAUCCUUCUGCCCCACAAUGCCAGGGCAUAUUGAACCCCUUUGGUGAAAGCCCCAACGUCCCUUCCAAAGGAAUUAGCUCAAAGCAGUGUUGGCAAGUUCUCUGUUGUGCUCAGGAAUUCUGGGCUCAGGAUGCACAUGGGCACUGCCCAGACUCAGUCACAGAUAUGCUUUCCUCUCGUUUUUGGCUCCCUUUUGCAGGCUGUGCUCAGUGGGUUUAGCCCUUUGCUAGCAAAUGCCAAAUAUACCUGCCUGUGCAUGUAUUUCCACACACAUGGACCCUCAGCAGGAGAGAGCAGCACCAGAGAGGGAAGGCCAUGUAUGACCUGAGAAACUGCCUGAGACUGUGCAAAGGGGGAUUGUGUGAGCUGCAGAGAUGCUCCUCUUCAUUUCUUUUCCUUUGCCUUGGUGACUUUCUGUGUUGCAAUGAACAUCUUGUGAAAUGUCCUGGCAGGGAAAUGAUGAAAAUUCCCCAAUUUCCAUGUGCUGUGGGGUUCACCAGUGUGGGAGGUGCCCUGUGCAGGAGGAAGGCUGUUUGUGGCCACACUGGUAACAGGGAUCCUUGGAGAAGGGUGAUCCUCUUGUAGAGAUAAUGAAUAGCCAAGGGAGAAUCAGUCCUGGAACUGCAGCAGAAGAGAGAAGCUGCCCCUGGCUGAACAUCUGGGUCUUCCUUAUUUUUGUCCUUCCAAUCAAAGCUGCCCUUGUGACCAUCUGCCUUGUGGCUUUACUUGAUGGAAGCUAUGGCCCAUACAAGACUCUCCUCCAGAACUCUACAGAGUGGUACUGUGUCCCCAGCAGUUCUGCAGAGAAAGUGAAUGGCUGGACUUGCUGCCCAAAGGGCUGGAGAAGGUUUCAAGGAAACUGCUAUUUCCUGUCCCCUGACACGAUGUCAUGGUCUGAGAGUGCACAGAACUGCACUGGGAUGGGCUCCCAGCUGGUGGUGAUCACCAGCAAGGCAGAGCAGGAGUUCCUCUUCAACUUGAUAAAAGAAAAAGUUACUAACAGCUAUGAAACAAAAUACUACAUAGGCUUAGCUGCUUACAAAAAUGGGUGGCAGUGGGUGGAUCAGACUCCAUAUGAAAAUACAGCCACGUUCUGGAAGCCUGGGGAGCCUAAUUUACUCUUUGCAGAAAAAUGUGCUGCAAUUCAUGUCAAGGGAAAAGGAGACCCCAACACUUACAGUAACUGGAAUAAUGUCCUUUGCAUCACAAGUUGCUAUCGAAUUUGUGAGCAGGCAGUCAAGCUUCUCUGAGGAAGGACAUAAAAUCUGAGUUUCAAAGUACCUCAGUUCCCAGCCUGUGCCCCUCCAUCUUCUACAAGCUGGAGGUGGACAUCUUGGCCACAUCCCAGCUGCCUCUCAGAACAAGACCUGGAUGCUUACCGCUCCUUGGCACACUAACUUUCACUUUGGAAUGGAACUUGGGUCUGAGGAAAGGAGCAACAGUGACAUUCACUUCUGAGAACACACACAACAUUGAGUGCAGCUUUUGGAAAAUCUGCUGGUCUCCUGGAAAUGCCUCAGCUGAUCAUGAGGUCCAGCACUUCAGCACCAUCUCCUGCUCACAGCAAGUCACUUGCACUCUCUCGGUGUCACUGUGAUCUACAUGCAUGAGAUCAGGAAGAGAUGCAGAAUGCCUCUGACUCUGUCACUGCAGUCCCUUGUGGUGCAUCGAUGGCUCUACAGCAAGAUGUGCCUCAUCACAAUGGGCCUGCCAGGCAACCAGUGGAAUAUGUCUGACCUUGGUCACCCCCACUGGACCCAACACUGACCUGAGGACUGAUUUCCGUGCCGGACCUCGGAUCUUCCUCAUCCCUGAAGACUUGUCUAGCAAUCUAGAUCCUGGAUCCUGUGCCAGGUGUGUCCUGCUUGCUCCACUCAGGUGUUGUGGCUGGUCCCCAGCUGUCCUGCUGGCUGUGUUACUGCAGCUAGCUCCUGGCCACCGACCCUCGGGGAGUAGCCACCUCCACUGUUCCCUUAGUGUUUGUUGUACCACAGAGCAAAUAGUGAACUGGGAUCCAUUUUAUUUUGUUGUUUUUUGGGGAGGAAGGCAGAUUCUUGUCAGUUUGUUUUACUGAAGUAGCUCUUUACUAUUGAAUAUUGGGUAGAAUUUGCUGCUGAUGGCCACCAUUACUUCUUCACUAUGUUUGUCAUCUCUUUGGUUUCAAUUUUGCUGUUUUUCAUGCUGUUUGUAAAAAAGCCUCUUUUUUUCAGGAAAGACAAACUUACUGUACUCCUUAACAUCCUCCAUGAGCUCCUCCGUAUUCCUGACAACCAUAACCAACUUUAAAAGUCAUGUUCCAGUAGCUUUUAAUAGGAUUUCAGUAUCUUUGGUUCUUUUUCCUUCAGGGACAAUUCAACAGGCUGAACUGCUUCCUUAUAGCUCCAAAGUAGUGCAGAAGGGAUAUAGAGCCAUUCACAUCUUUGAAGUGGUGCUAUACUCCCCGUGUUUUAGCAGGUCUGAGGGAAGCAGGAAGAGUUUUAUAUGUUGGGUUCCACCAGAGGCCACGCAGUGCUGCCCGGAUCUGUGCACAGGAUUUGCAGUGUCUGUGCAAAGGGCUGGUUAUCUUAUGAGAAGGAGCCAUGUAAAUCAAUCCAGAAGCAACUGCUAUGUAAUCUCAACACAAUUGCUGCACAGCCACUGACAGAUUACAACUUUAGUGUUGGAUUCGGCGCUAUACAAGGCCAGAUGUAAUGAAUGAUUAAUAAAAUCCUUCUGACAUAAAGACAUGCUUGGAGAAGCAAAUGCAGUAUGGAAACACGACACUCACUUUUCAUGGAAUCAUGGAAUGAUUUGGGUUGAAAGAGACCUUGUGGCAUUCACAUUCUCUGGACAGAGAGACAUAAUUCUGUCUCUCAGGAGAAACACAGAGAGAAGAAAAGAAAACAAUCUUUAUCUCUGCUUGGUUUUCUCCAUAUGGAAUGUGGUAUGGAGAUUGUUUACCUGAAGUGAUUGCUGGAUUGCUGAAGUGAUUGCUGGAUUGGGUUCUGGUGAGGGUUGUUUGGGUUCAAUGACCAAUUGGAUCCAGCUGUGUCUCAGACUCUCAGCAGAGAGUCGCGAGUUUGUUAGUUGUUAGGUAAGCAAGAAGAAAGUAUGUAGAAUAGUAUAGUAUCUUUUUAAAUAGUAUAUUAAUGUAUUAUAGUAUAGUUUCAAUAAAGCUAUCCUUCAACCUUC
This is a non-coding RNA of Taeniopygia guttata (zebra finch), 7743 nucleotides long. Lineage: Eukaryota; Metazoa; Chordata; Aves; Passeriformes; Estrildidae. The record is from RefSeq and is a predicted model, not a curated record.